CCGCGUGGUGGACGGCGCUCGGCGUCCGGCCGCUCGCGCUGGCCGGGCACAGCGUCGGCGAGUUCGCGGCCGCCUGCGCCGCC
Molecule: transfer RNA, 83 nt
Filed under: Kitasatospora xanthocidica
Lineage: Bacteria; Bacillati; Actinomycetota; Actinomycetes; Kitasatosporales; Streptomycetaceae
Description: tRNA-Ala
Source: RNAcentral